UUCUGGUUAGCAGUGGGAUAACAAACCAGCAGUGAUAGGCAGUGAGAGUUUACCAAUGUAGGUUACAACAUCCAGCCAUCAUUAUACAGGGAUGAUUGCUGCUUUUUAGAGAAUUCUGCUUGGUACAUUUGUGUAGCUACUAGAGUCUAGACUUGGUAAAAGAUGGGUAGUUAGGAGUGAGAGUGUUUGGGAUAUAUGUAAAAAAAACUUUUGCUGCAAAUGUACAAAUAUUUUUUUUCUCGAAACCAAUAAUGCACCAGGUCAUUGGCUUGGUGUCUGUGAAUAUUUUGAUUUUGUGCAAAAUCUGUCCCCAGUUAUUUUGUUUUUAAAUUUACUAUUAAAAUGAGUGCUUGUUUUAUUAAAUUGGAUUGCCUAUGAUGAAUUAUCCUUUAGUUUCAGAUAAGUGGUUCUCCUUAAUGAAGAAGCCAUUUGAAAGGUCGGAAGUAAAGAAAUAGCAGUUGCUCUGUGCUAUCAGAAAGAAACAGAAAACCUGCCACGUUAUACAUUAGUGGUCUGUUCAUUUCCGAGUCUUGAAGGUAAGUAACGUCUUUAGCUUUUUUGGAAAUGUGAUAUUACAUUUUCUACAGUUUUUUAAACUACAGUUCCAUGCACACAUUUGGACACCCCUGACCAAAUUACAUAUUUUGCUGACAUUUAAAGUAAUCAAAAUAGUAAUUACAACUUCUACAACAUACAAACUAAACAGAAUUAUUAUGAAAAUAUUAAUGUACAAUUCUAAUAUAUUUGAACUGAAAAAAUGCAAACAAAUAAGAGUAAUUAUUGCAUUUGCAGAAGUUUGGACACAAUUUAAGUUGAAAAGCCUCACAACUCAUUAGGUCAUUAGUCUUGUCAAAAAUUGCAGAUACUUCUUAAUAACAAUUCUAGAACCUAAUAAAUUAUUUGACUUUUCAAACAUUAUGCAACACACAACAACCUUGGGCUCUUCUGAGUACAGUAUAUGAAAAUUAAACUAAUUUAUACUUGCAAAGCAGGGGAAGGCUAUUAAAAAAAGGUUAUUAAAGUGCUUCCAGCUAGAAGUUUCCACAGUCCAAAUUGUCAUUAAGAAAUUGCAGUUAAAGGGAACUGUGGAGGUCAAGACAAGAUACGCGCCAAGAAAACUGAAAGAGAGAACAGCAGAGAAGCAACGAAAACGCCCAAAUGGCAGUAAGGACCUGCAGGCAGGUUUAGCUGAGAAAGGAGUGGUGGUGCACUGCUGUACUGUGCUACGUUACUUACCACAGGUAAUGACUAUUAUGGAAGAUCACCAAAGGAAAUCUUAUCUGUGACCCCAUCACAAAAAACAUCUGCACAAGAUAGAGGCAUUUUGGAAACAAGUGCUUCUGGACAGAUGACGUUAAAAUUGAACCCUUACCAGAGCCACAAAAAAUGGAGCAGAAAACCGCACCUUGGCAGCUGUUUAGUACAGUGGCUAGAGCCAUAAAGCUGCAAUUGUGUGGCAGCUUGUGGCUCAGGGAAUAUUGUAUGAGUGCAGGGACAAAUGGAUUCCACUAAAUAUCAAAAAAUCUUCAAGGAGAAUGUGAGACAGCCAGGGAGCUAAAGGAAAAAAAUCUAAAACACACAUGAAAUCUAAUAUGAAGUACCUCAAGAAGCACAAAUAUUUUGCCAUUAAAGUGCCAUAUUACAUGCCUUCUAAGCUGAGUAUGUGAGCAGUCGCUCCUGCAUUUUAGGAGCAUCUCUCACAAAAAGAUGCGACUUUUCAAACAAGAUUAAACUAUCAAAAUGAAUUAAACUAAAUCAGUUACCCACCUGAUGUAAGCGAAUUUCAAACAAAUUUGAACUUUGUGGAAUAGUCUGUGCUGUUGUUUCCAUGUCACUUUAACCAUGUCUAAGCACAAAGCCGACGAGUGUUCAAAUAAUACAUCAAAGAAACAGUGUUUGGGGUUUAAGUCAGAAUGUUUCCUGGACAGCACAUGCUUCUGGGAAAUUUUUUUAACUGCUCAUAGUUGGAUUGGUCAUUUGCAAAAUUUGCCUGAAAAAAAGAUGGUCUCAGAUGGGAUUAUUUUUACUUUUGGACAUUUGUGGCACAUUCCAGGUUGUAAGUGCUGAAUGUGAAAGAGGAUUUAGUGUAAUGAACAAUAUAGAAGCAAAAUCUAGAAAUCACUUACAGUAUUUACUGAGCAUUUGGAAUACUUGAUGAGAAGAAGUAAACUCUGUCGAUUCUGAACAUAUUGUUAAUGAUGGCACAGUUUACAAUUUAUGGAAGUCAGAAAAGCAGGAGGAGAAGCUGUUUGAAUAUUCGGUGAAAUUUAAAGUAGAAACUGCCGUUUUAUUAACAAAUGAUCAGUUUUUUAAUACUUAACACUAAAUACUACAUGCAAUUCAGUAAAUCAUGUGCAUGAUGGGUUUUUGUUUUGUGCAUUUGCUAAUACUGGUGCUCAAAUUAUUUAUUUUUUAGCUUGUUGAUCAUGGGAAGGAAAAGUUGCCAGGCCAAUGUCACCUUUUUUUCUUCUUUAAAAUUGGCUGAAUUGCCAUAUUGCUGUGACCUCUGACGUUCUUGAAUUUCCUGAUUGAGUCUUGUACAAUUUGACAGCCCACAGGCAAAUAAGUGUAGAAGAUAUAUAAGGUCAAUGUGUUACAUUUAUCCAUUUGUUAACUGGGUUAGUCACUGUCAUUAUCUGAGCUAUAAUUUUUUUGCUUGCUUCUCUUGCACAAUAAGCAAAAACUGUCAAACCACUUUUUUUCUUUUUUUUUAAUUCUAAAAAUGUUUAUGAUGUUUACUUUCUAACCCCCAUCCAGCACAACUAAAGAACUGGAGAAAGCUCUGCAGUGAUCCAGCCUGUGAACAGUACUCACCCUUCUAGAUGUGACAGGCUGCCCUGGUUCAGUUAUCAGAGUGCUGAUGCUGUCCACUUUAAAGGUACAGUACUGUGAUAACUGAAGGAUGGCAGCCAUCUUGGCACCUGAUUCCCUCAAUGGUUAAAUACAGUGCAGGAGGUAACAAAAGUGAGUCUUCUUAAAAGGGCUGAUUAGGGAUGUUUCAGUUCAUGAAGGUGUUACUGUCAGUUUUCCUUUCCUUAUUAAUGAUAUGACUGAAGGGCACUUCUGGUAGCUAAGCAUGGCUCCUGUAGGUCUACUCUAAGAAAUAUCUCCUGGCUUGCUUCUAGGUCUCCUAGAGUGGCCAUUGGUUUUUUGAAAGGACACAAGCAUAUUCAAGUCUUAUUGGCUUCUAAUGUAGAUUUUCUAGACUGGUUGUCUGGCCUAGUAGCUAAAGAGCUGGACUGGAAUCCACAAAUUUGCAGUUUUAGUCAACUUUGUUUACUGACCCAGAGGCUUUGAACAUAGAGCAUGCCCUCUCCGUUUCAGAUUUUUGACAAUUCUUUUUGCACCCCUGUAAAGUAGGCAGGAUUGAGAAUACAGGCUAGUGCAGGUUCACUACUCAUUCAAGAACAUUUGUCACCAUUAAGUACUUGGGCACCACUAGGGAGUAAUGUAUUUUGUGUGUGUGUUUGCAAGCGUGCCCCAGAAAGACUAUCUUUCGAAAGGUACAGCAGAGGCAUAGACAGAGUGAGGUCAAGUAGGGAAACCAGAGGUUGGCUAUACUUCAAGACAAGCAGAAGUCCCACUACAAAAUAAGUAGGGUAGCAGCAGAACUGCCAAUGGAUAACUGGCCUUUUAGGGCAUUUGGGAAGCUCAGGGGUACAGAGACGCCAGACUUGAUGUCCCUAGAGCACAUACAGAAUGUCCCGCAAGUGAUUCCAGGACAUGGCUGAAAAGACCCCUGAAAAAAAAAGGUUUUAAAACACCUCCUGGACGAAAUGGCAUCAGCUUUAAUCCAGGCUCCCAGCUUAAACGGGUGACUGAUCAGAAGAAAAUUGAAGGAAGAGAGAAGGGUAAGGUGAAAGGGCAUGUUUGGGUGCUUGAGGUAAGUUUUGGACAAAUGCCAUCCUAGAGACAAUCAGGGAUGAGGGUUUGUUCUAAGGAUGCAUUACAUGUUUGUUGUUUAUCUCUUAAUUAUGUGUUUCUUUUUUUGUUUCUUUCUUGUCUUAUUUUACCAAUAAACUUAUUUUAUUGAGCA
Polypterus senegalus (gray bichir) is the source of this 4036-nucleotide long non-coding RNA. RefSeq lists it as uncharacterized. The record is from RefSeq and is a predicted model, not a curated record. The transcript has 2 exons. Lineage: Eukaryota; Metazoa; Chordata; Cladistia; Polypteriformes; Polypteridae.